This is a long non-coding RNA of Thunnus maccoyii (southern bluefin tuna), 239 nucleotides long. RefSeq lists it as uncharacterized. The transcript has 3 exons. NCBI's taxonomy places the organism in Eukaryota, Metazoa, Chordata, Actinopteri, Scombriformes, Scombridae. The record is from RefSeq and is a predicted model, not a curated record.
GCGAAUGUAGGCUUGCUGGAAUGGCGUGCCCACGCAGCUAGCAGGAUGAAGAGUAUCAACGUUCGCUGGUAAUAGAAAGAGAAAGGGAGAGAAGACAAAGGCAAAUCCAGGAGCAUGAGCUGAAAAGAGCAAAGGUUAAAAAUACCAGGAAGGAAAUAAUCAAUUCCAUACCAGAGCCUGAAAAUGGGAUGGCCUUUCAAUUUAAAUGUCCUGAUGGUGGCUUAAAAAGGAGAUGCUAC